UUGACCUCGGAUCAGGUAGGGAUACCCGCUGAACUUAAGCAUAUCAAUAAGCGGAGGAAAAGAAACCAACAGGGAUUGCCUCAGUAACGGCGAGUGAAGCGGCAACAGCUCAAAUUUGAAAUCUGGCUCCUUCGGGGUCCGAAUUGUAAUUUGUAGAGAGUGCUUCGGGCGAGACCUCGGUCUAAGUCCAUUGGAACAUGGUGUCAUAGAGGGUGAGAAUCCCGUAUGCGACCGUGGCUCGAGCCCAUGUGAAGCCUCUUCGACGAGUCGAGUUGUUUGGGAAUGCAGCUCAAAAUGGGUGGUAAAUUUCAUCUAAAGCUAAAUACUGGCUGGAGACCGAUAGCGCACAAGUAGAGUGAUCGAAAGAUGAAAAGCACUUUGGAAAGAGAGUCAAACAGUACGUGAAAUUGUUGAAAGGGAAGCGCUUGCAACCAGACCUGCCCGUAGGCGAUCCGCCGCUGUUCUCAGCGGUGUACUCGCUCUGCGAUCAGGCCAGCAUCGGUUUCGGCGGUCGGAUAAAGGCCUUGGGAAUGUAGCUUCCCCUCGGGGGAGUCUUAUAGCCCUCGGUGUAAUGCGGCCAGCUGGGACCGAGGACCGCGCUUCGGCUAGGAUGCUGGCGUAAUGGUUGUAAGCGACCCGUCUUGAAACACGGACCAAGGAGUCUAACAUCUAUGCGAGUGUUUGGGUGUCAAACCCAUACGCGAAAUGAAAGUGAACGGAGGUGAGAACCCUUAAGGGCGCAUCAUCGACCGAUCCAGAUGUCUUCGGAUGGAUUUGAGUAUGAGCAUAGCUGUUGGGACCCGAAAGAUGGUGAACUAUGCCUGAAUAGGGUGAAGCCAGAGGAAACUCUGGUGGAGGCUCGCAGCGGUUCUGAACGUGCAAAUCGAUCGUCAAAUUUGG
RNAcentral lists this ribosomal RNA (900 nucleotides) under Xanthoparmelia coreana. RNAcentral's name for it is "eukaryotic LSU rRNA". It matches the Rfam family "Eukaryotic large subunit ribosomal RNA", at positions 1 to 914 of the family's 3401-position model. The record is from RNAcentral. Lineage: Eukaryota; Fungi; Ascomycota; Lecanoromycetes; Lecanorales; Parmeliaceae.